RNAcentral lists this ribosomal RNA (593 nucleotides) under uncultured Ascomycota. RNAcentral describes it as "eukaryotic LSU rRNA". The stretch from base 219 to 372 matches the Rfam family "5.8S ribosomal RNA". Lineage: Eukaryota; Fungi; Ascomycota. The record is from RNAcentral.
CUUGGUCAUUUAGAGGAAGUAAAAGUCGUAACAAGGUUUCCGUAGGUGAACCUGCGGAAGGAUCAUUAUCAAAAGUCAAGUCGGGGGCUGUAAAGCUCUCGUCUACACCCAUGUCUUUUGCGUACUCUUGUUUCCUCGGUGGCGCAAGCUGCCGAUUGGACAAACCAAAACCUUUUUUGUAAUUGCAAUCAGCGUCUGAAAAUAAUCUAAUUAUUUACAACUUUCAACAACGGAUCUCUUGGUUCUGGCAUCGAUGAAGAACGCAGCGAAAUGCGAUAAGUAGUGUGAAUUGCGGAAUUCAGUGAAUCAUCGAAUCUUUGAACGCACAUUGCGCCCUUUGGUAUUCCAAAGGGCAUGCCUGUUCGAGCGUCAUUUGUACCCUCAAGCUUUGCUUGGUGUUGGGCGUCUUGUCUCUAGCUUUGCUGGAGACUCGCCUUAAAGUAAUUGGCAGCCGGCCUACUGGUUUCGGAGCGCAGCACAAGUCGCACUCUCUAUCAGCAAAGGUCUAGCAUCCAUUAAGCCUUUUUUUCAACUUUUGACCUCGGAUCAGGUAGGGAUACCCGCUGAACUUAAGCAUAUCAAUAAGCGGAGGA